UAAUUUCAAGUUAUCAAGAGUGUGUUUGUACAGGGAGUGGGUUGGGCAUCUGAGUUGUCUACUGGUGAGGUCUGGGUUUAGUGCAAUGAUGGAUCUCAGAUGGUCAUUCAAUAUUCUGUAACUAGUAUCAAAUACACAGAUAGUACAGGAGCCAUAACAAGAUAUACCCACACCGACAGAUUGCCAGAACCAAUCAAGGACAAGCUGUCACGCCUCCCAGUCUUAAUAGAAAAUCUAGCAGCUUCACCCAAAAUAUCAUAGAGUACCUAAGAUGUUGAUUGUAAAUAAGACUGUAAAAUACUUAUUACUUCUUCAGUUACAUAGUAGAUGUCACUUAGGUUUUCUCUGUGUAAGACAAAUAACUUUCUUACUUAGCAAUCACUAGGUUUUUACAUUAACAAGAGUUGUGAGAGGACUGGGGAUGAGUAGGGUAAGAUUUACUAGAAUAAAUUCAAAUAAGAGAACACUAGGUUUACUAAUUAGUAAAAACAAUAGAAAGAACUUUUUGGAAGUAAGGUCACAAAAUGACAGUUUUUGAAAUACAGUAGCUAAAAUUGAAUUUGUAGAAGCAACAAAUCAAGAAGAGUUAUGAACUUUUACAAGUUUCGUUCUUAAACUCCCAAAGGUUUUGGUCCUCCUUAUCACUGUGUAAAAUUUCAUUUGAAUGGUUGUCUAUACACAGCUGUUUAUACACACCAGGGCCGGGUUGUUUGAAAGCCUGUUAACACUAACCCAGGAUUAAACGUCAACCGAAGAACUAAUUUUUCUCACAUGAAAAUGUUUUUCACUGCUUAUGUUUUCUGUGGUUUGAGAUUAUUCAAAUUCAAAACUGAAGGACAGACAAUA
Orbicella faveolata is the source of this 846-nucleotide long non-coding RNA. Lineage: Eukaryota; Metazoa; Cnidaria; Anthozoa; Scleractinia; Merulinidae. The record is from RefSeq and is a predicted model, not a curated record.